Molecule: ribosomal RNA, 549 nt
Filed under: uncultured bacterium
Lineage: Bacteria
Description: bacterial SSU rRNA
Rfam family: Bacterial small subunit ribosomal RNA
Source: RNAcentral
CCUACGGGAGGCAGCAGUGAGGAAUUUCCGCAAUGGGCGAAAGCCUGACGGAGCAAUACCGCGUGAGGGAUGAAGGAUUUUGGUCUGUAAACCUCUUUUCUCAAGAAAGAAGUUCUGACGGUACUUGAGGAAUAAGCAUCGGCUAACUCCGUGCCAGCAGCCGCGGUAAUACGGGGGAUGCAAGCGUUAUCCGGAAUCAUUGGGCGUAAAGCGCCUGUAGGUUGUUUAAUAAGUCUGUUGUUAAAGACUAGGGCUCAACCCUAGAAAAGCAAUGGAAACUACUAGACUAGAGUAUGGCAGGGGUAGAGGGAAUUUCUAGUGUAGCGGUGAAAUGCGUAGAUAUUAGAAAGAACACCGGUGGCGAAAGCGCUCUACUGGACCAUUACUGACACUCAGAGGCGAAAGCUAGGGUAGCAAAAGGGAUUAGAUACCCCUGUAGUCCUAGCCGUAAACGAUGGAUACUACAUGUUGUGCUUAUUGUACAGUAUGGUAGCUAACGCGUUAAGUAUCCCGCCUGGGGAGUACGCUCGCAAGGGUGAAACUCAAAGG